This 468-nucleotide ribosomal RNA is filed under the name uncultured bacterium. RNAcentral describes it as "partial 16S ribosomal RNA". It matches the Rfam family "Bacterial small subunit ribosomal RNA", at positions 28 to 507 of the family's 1533-position model. The record is from RNAcentral.
GACGAACGCUGGCGGCGUGCUUAACACAUGCAAGUCGAACGGAAAGGCCCUGCUUUUGUGGGGUGCUCGAGUGGCGAACGGGUGAGUAACACGUGAGUAACCUGCCCUUGACUUUGGGAUAACUUCAGGAAACUGGGUCUAAUACCGGAUAGGAGCUCCUGCUGCAUGGUGGGGGUUGGAAAGUUUCGGCGGUUGGGGAUGGACUCGCGGCUUAUCAGCUUGUUGGUGGGGUAGUGGCUGACCAAGGCUUUGACGGGUAGCCGGCCUGAGAGGGUGAACGGCCACCUUGGUCCUGAGAUACGCCCCAGAGUCCUACGGGAGGCAGCAGUGGGGAAUCUUGCACAAUGAGCCGAAGCCUGAUGCAGCAACGCCGCGUUCGGGAUGACGGCCUUCGGGUUGCAAACCGCUUUCGCCUGUGACGAAGCGUGAGUGACGGUAAUGGAUAAAGAAGCACCGGCUAACUACGUG